UUUGAAUUAUGAAAGUCGAGCUUGUUUCAGAGCGCACAGGACAGUUCAAUUCAGUCGGGACAAUUUAACUGACGACCGGGGAUGAAAACGUUGCAGAAUCUUAAAUGAGGAGAAUAGAGAAGACGUCGAGAUACGAUACAUAUGAGAUGCUGUGUUAUUCUACGUUUCCCUCAUGUUUCGUCUGCUACGCUGCCGCUCGUUACCACUUCUCGCACAAUUAAAUCGCGACAUACAAUACAUGCAAAAGGCGACGUCAUCCACACACAUACACACACGAGCGAACACAGUUGGGUAUGAAUAUCGGAGAAGCGGACGAUUUUGCGCAUCCAACACGGACGAGCAUUAGGACCAACCGCUGCUUCUUGCACGCACCAUGUGAUGCUUAAACGACGGGAUAUCGUUUGCCCCGAGUGGUACCACCAUCCCUAUCGCAAAAUCCUUCGUGAACGAUGGCACGGCUGCGCUUGGCAACUUAUCACUCUGUUUUCGCGGUUAUAUGUGUGCGCUGCUGCGAUUCCGUAACACCUGCCUACAAGCCACAUAUACGACGAUCCACGUACGUCGCGGAAUAUUCAAAAAGCGAUCUACCGAGCCGAAUAAAAAGCAAGUCGCGUCUGCAGCAUGGACGACUUUUUACGACGGAACGCCGGCACACAUACGUAAUCGAGCAGAUACGGUCACAACUCACAACAAAUUAUGGUAUUGUCAUACGAAGCUGCCUUCAUCCCGUACUGUUGACAUAUUCAGUCAGUUGGUAUUCAAAACUCGAAGAUAAAGGUUACUGCUCGGCAGAUUAUUUUUCGAAAAACGCGAUUAUUUUCUACAAUUAUUAUAAUUAGAGACACGUAAGAGAUAUUAUAUUUCAAAACUAUACAAUUUGUCGGUAUGUUUAAAGUGUGAUUUCCGUACAAAUGGGCUUAUUUUUUAUCGUGAUUUUCGGGAGUUUUUGUCCAAAGCAUCGCGCGUUUAAAAAUGCGGAAGUGCCGUUUAAAGCAUCGCACAUUCAAGUGCGGGAGUACUAUUUAAAGUAUCGCGCGUAAAAGUGCGGGAGUGCAUUAAAAAUUAAAAAUGUCGCGCGUGUGAAACAACGUACUGAAGUUGUCUUGAGCGGAAAAGGAGGCCUAGGAAAGGCAUCGGGCAUCGACAGAACAACCUUAGGAUUUCUACAUGUAGCGUGUCAACUCCACUGCUGCUCAUCGAUCGGUGAGUGAGAUAUU
Molecule: non-coding RNA, 1217 nt
Organism: Nylanderia fulva
Lineage: Eukaryota; Metazoa; Arthropoda; Insecta; Hymenoptera; Formicidae
Source: RefSeq, a predicted model, not a curated record